RNAcentral lists this ribosomal RNA (497 nucleotides) under uncultured bacterium. Its description in RNAcentral is "partial 16S ribosomal RNA". It matches the Rfam family "Bacterial small subunit ribosomal RNA", at positions 28 to 507 of the family's 1533-position model. The record is from RNAcentral.
GAUGAACGCUGGCGGCGUGCUUAAUACAUGCAAGUCGAGCGAACAGACGAGGAGCUUGCUCCUCUGACGUUAGCGGCGGACGGGAGAGUAACAUGUGGAUAAUCUACCUAUAUUACUGGGAUAACUACGGGAAACCGGCGCUAAUACCGGAUAAUAUAUUGAACCGCAUGGUUCAAUAGUGAAAGACGGUGUUGCUGUCACUUCUAGAUGGUUCCGCGCUGGUUUGGCUAGUUGGUCAGGUAACGGCUUACGAAGGCAACGAUGCGUAGCCGACGUGCGGGGGUGGUCGGCCACACGGGAGCUGAGACACAGUCCAUGCUCCUGCGGGAGGCAGCAGUAGGGAAUCUUCCGCAAUGGGGGAGAGCCUGACGGAGCAGCGCCGAGUGUGUGAUGAAGAUCUUCGGAUCGUAAAACUCUGUUAUUGGGGAAAAACAAAUGUGUAAGUAACUAUGCACGUCUUGACGGUACCUAAUCAGAAAGCCACGGCUAACUACGUG